GCCAUGUGUAAUUUUUCUGAUCAUUAGAUAAUUGCUGCAACGAUUUAGAAGGCGGAAAAAGGAUUUCAAACGUAGACGCCAUGAUGAUUGAUAUUUUAGAGAUUAGAGGAAUGAACGAAAUUUUAUAAUUGCAAUGUAACAGUGGAGGAAGCAAUGUGAAGAAGAAGAAGAAGAAGAAGAAGAAGAAAAGAUGGAAAGGAAUAAGAAAGGAGAUUAUUGUUCCUUAUUGUCCUAUCGAUGCAAUUCUAAAGGAUAUAUAAAAUAAGUGAAUGAGUAAAUGUAAAGUUGUAAGAAGUAAUGUAGAAAAUUAAAAGCUAUUGAAAUCCAAAAGAUUAUGCAAUUUUGUGAACCAGGAAAUAUAAGCAAAUUUAAAUAAGUGUAAUGAAUGAAAUUUUAUGAUUGUAAUGUAAAGAAAAAAAAGAAGAGAGUAAUAAGAAAGAAGACUAUAAUCCUAUUGGUGCAAUUCUGAAGGAUAUGUAAAAUAAGUGCAUGAGUAAAUAUGAGAAAUGUAAUAUAAAGUUAUUAUAUAAGAAGCAAUAAAAGAAGUAAAAAAAUUGAAGGCCAUUAAAUUCAAAAGAUUAUGCAAUUCUGUGAGCCAGGAAAUAUAAGCAAAUAAGUAUAUUUAAUUAUAAGUAAAUUACAAGUAAAAAGAAUUUUGUAUUACACAAAUUUUGACAAAUAUCCUCAAUCUUCUCCUUUCCAGAUGUAACGAAUGAAAUUUUAUAAUUGUAAUGUAACAAUAAACAAGAAAAAAAAGAAGAGAUAAUAAUAAGAGACAAUAAGAAAGAAGACUAUAAUCCUAUUGGUGCAAUUCUGAAGGAUAUGUAAAAUAAGUGCAUGAGUAAAUAUGAGAAAUGUAAUAUAAAGUUAUUAUAUAAGAAGCAAUAAAAGAAGUAAAAAAAUUGAAGGCCAUUAAAUUCAAAAGAUUAUGCAAUUCUGUGAGCCAGGAAAUAUAAGCAAAUAAGUAUAUUUAAUUAUAAGUAAAUUACAAGUAAAAAGAAUUUUGUAUUACACAAAUUUUGACAAACAUCCUCGAUUUAGUCCAUGUUUAAUAUUGCAAAGAUAUCUCGUAACAAUAAAAAAAAAUAAAAAGUAUCUUUAAAUAAAGUAUUCUUGGUUUAACACAAUAUUUUAAAUUUUUAAGGAGAGAAAAGAAUAUAACCUUGAACCAUAUCUUUCAAUAUUGUAAUAUGUUCUUCAUUUUAAAUACUGAAGAAAC
Apis laboriosa (Himalayan honeybee) is the source of this 1219-nucleotide long non-coding RNA. RefSeq lists it as uncharacterized. The transcript is spliced from 4 exons. NCBI's taxonomy places the organism in Eukaryota, Metazoa, Arthropoda, Insecta, Hymenoptera, Apidae. The record is from RefSeq and is a predicted model, not a curated record.